RNAcentral lists this ribosomal RNA (467 nucleotides) under uncultured bacterium. RNAcentral describes it as "partial 16S ribosomal RNA". It matches the Rfam family "Bacterial small subunit ribosomal RNA", at positions 28 to 507 of the family's 1533-position model. The record is from RNAcentral.
GACGAACGCUGGCGGCGUGCUUAACACAUGCAAGUCGAACGGAAAGGCCCUGCGUUUGUGGGGUGCUCGAGUGGCGAACGGGUGAGUAACACGUGAGUAACCUGUCCCUGACUUUGGGAUAACUUCAGGAAACUGGGGCGAAUACCGGAUAGGAGCUCCUGCUGCAUGGGGGGGGUUGGAAAGUUUCGGCGGUUGGGGUUGGACUCGCGGCUUAUGAGCAUGUUGGUGGGUAUUGGCUUACCAAGGCUUUGACGGGUAGCCGGCCUGAGAGGGCGACCGGCCACAUUGGGCCUGCGAUACGGCCCAGACUCCUACGGGAGGCAGCAGUGGGGAAUCUUGCACAAUGAGCGCAAGCCUGAUGCAGCAACGCCGCGUGCGGGAUGACGGCCUUCGGGUUGUAAACCGCUUUCGCCUGUGACGAAGCGUGAGUGACGGUAAUGUGUAAAGAAGCACCGGCUAACUACGUG